Porphyromonas sp. HMSC065F10 is the source of this 173-nucleotide non-coding RNA. The record is from Rfam. Lineage: Bacteria; Pseudomonadati; Bacteroidota; Bacteroidia; Bacteroidales; Porphyromonadaceae.
CAAGGGGCGCCUCUUGGGAGAGAAUAAGCAAUAGCGAACUCGUGGCCUGACGAACAGAGACCUAAUAUUAAGGCGUAUUAAGCGGACUAGCUUGCCAAAGGCGGUGAAGAUCCAAAAGGCAAUCGUAACCUUGAUGCGUAAAUUAGGCAGGUAAACGAUGAAAGGUGUAAGGC